RNAcentral lists this ribosomal RNA (497 nucleotides) under uncultured bacterium. RNAcentral's name for it is "partial 16S ribosomal RNA". It matches the Rfam family "Bacterial small subunit ribosomal RNA", at positions 28 to 507 of the family's 1533-position model. The record is from RNAcentral.
GAUGAACGCUGGCGGCGUGCCUAAUACAUGCAAGUCGAGCGAACAGACGAGGAGCUUGCUCCUCUGACGUUGGCGGCGGACGGGUGAGUAACACGUGGAUAACCUACCUAUAAGACUGGGAUAACUUCGGGAAACCGGAGCUAAUACCGGAUAAUAUAUUGAACCGCAUGGUUCAAUAGUGAAAGACGGUUUUGCUGUCACUUAUAGAUGGAUCCGCGCCGCAUUAGCUAGUUGGUAAGGUAACGGCUUACCAAGGCGACGAUGCGUAGCCGACCUGAGAGGGUGAUCGGCCACACUGGAACUGAGACACGGUCCAGACUCCUACGGGAGGCAGCAGUAGGGAAUCAUCCGCAAUGGGCGAAAGCCUGACGGAGCAACGCCGCGUGAGUGAUGAAGGUCUUCGGAUCGUAAAACUCUGUUAUUAGGGAAGAACAAAUGUGUAAGUAACUAUGCACGUCUUGACGGUACCUAAUCAGAAAGCCACGGCUAACUACGUG